This is a non-coding RNA of Myotis davidii, 540 nucleotides long. Lineage: Eukaryota; Metazoa; Chordata; Mammalia; Chiroptera; Vespertilionidae. The record is from the annotation of a RefSeq genome assembly.
AUGGUGACUCUAACAUUUCUUCAUGUUAAGAAUCAGGAACAGUAUUUAGGUGACAUUGUAGAGAUGAACUCGUCUCUGGGCUUAGUAACUGUGGUACUCUUAGUGUUUGGACAAACCCAUGGAGACUCAGUGACCCAGAUGGAAGGCCAAGUGACUCUGUUAGAAGGGGCUCCCCUGACUGUGAAUUGUACUUAUUCAGCCACAGGGUACCCCACUCUUUUCUGGUAUGUUCAGUAUCCUGGAGAAAGUCCACAGUUCCUCCUGAAAGCCGCAACAGUCAAUGGAAAGGGAAGAAACAAAGGUUUUGAAGCCACAUACCAAAAACAACCAAAUGCCUUCCACUUGGAGAAAGCCUCAGCCCACCAGGCAGAUUCUGCAAUGUACUACUGUGUGCUGGGUGACACAGUGACAGAAACUGCAGGGGGAGUUGAGCACAAACAUGGAACCUGGACCUAUUGUGAGCAACCACCAAGAAACACAGUGAUGUUUGCUGUACACUUGUGGAAAAGUUUUGAAAUCAGAAGCACUAAGUACAUUUGA